UGGGGAAUAUUGGACAAUGGGCGAAAGCCUGAUCCAGCCAUGCCGCGUGUGUGAAGAAGGUCUUCGGAUUGUAAAGCACUUUAAGUUGGGAGGAAGGGCAUUAACCUAAUACGUUAGUGUUUUGACGUUACCGACAGAAUAAGCACCGGCUAACUCUGUGCCAGCAGCCGCGGUAAUACAGAGGGUGCAAGCGUUAAUCGGAAUUACUGGGCGUAAAGCGCGCGGAGGUGGUUUGUUAAGUUGGAUGUGAAAUCCCCGGGCUCAACCUGGGAACUGCAUUCAAAACUGACUGACUAGAGUAUGGUAGAGGGUGGUGGAAUUUCCUGUGUAGCGGUGAAAUGCGUAGAUAUAGGAAGGAACACCAGUGGCGAAGGCGACCACCUGGACUAAUACUGACACUGAGGUGCGAAAGCGUGGGGAGCAAACA
RNAcentral lists this ribosomal RNA (427 nucleotides) under uncultured bacterium. Its description in RNAcentral is "partial 16S ribosomal RNA". It matches the Rfam family "Bacterial small subunit ribosomal RNA", at positions 355 to 774 of the family's 1533-position model. The record is from RNAcentral.